RNAcentral lists this ribosomal RNA (256 nucleotides) under uncultured bacterium. RNAcentral's name for it is "partial 16S ribosomal RNA". It matches the Rfam family "Bacterial small subunit ribosomal RNA", at positions 524 to 777 of the family's 1533-position model. The record is from RNAcentral.
UACGUAGGGCGCAAGCGUUGUCCGGAAUUAUUGGGCGUAAAGAGCUCGUAGGCGGUUUGUCGCGUCUGCUGUGAAAACCUGAGGCUCAACCUCGGGCCUGCAGUCGAUACGGGCAAACUAGAGUUCGGUAGGGGAGGACUGGAAUUCCUGGUGUAGCGGUGGAAUGCGCAGAUAUCAGGAGGAACACCAAUGGCGAAGGCAGGUCUCUGGGCCGAAACUGACGCUGGAGGAGCGAAAGCGUGGGGAGCGAACAGGA